CAGCCGCCACGGUAACACGGAGGAUCCAAGCGUUAUCCGGAAUCAUUGGGUUUAAAGGGUCCGUAGGCGGUCUUGUAAGUCAGUGGUGAAAGCCCAUCGCUCAACGGUGGAACGGCCAUUGAUACUGCAGGACUUGAAUUAUUGGGAAGUAACUAGAAUAUGUAGUGUAGCGGUGAAAUGCUUAGAGAUUACAUGGAAUACCAAUUGCGAAGGCAGGUUACUACCAAUUGAUUGACGCUGAUGGACGAAAGCGUGGGUAGCGAACAGGAUUAGAUACCCCCGUAGUCCCUGUCUCUUAUAC
RNAcentral lists this ribosomal RNA (301 nucleotides) under uncultured bacterium. RNAcentral describes it as "partial 16S ribosomal RNA". It matches the Rfam family "Bacterial small subunit ribosomal RNA", at positions 509 to 807 of the family's 1533-position model. The record is from RNAcentral.